RNAcentral lists this non-coding RNA (24 nucleotides) under Arabidopsis thaliana (thale cress). Lineage: Eukaryota; Viridiplantae; Streptophyta; Magnoliopsida; Brassicales; Brassicaceae. The record is from RNAcentral.
CAAACUUGAUCAGUCAUCCUCUCC